RNAcentral lists this ribosomal RNA (553 nucleotides) under Hortaea werneckii. RNAcentral's name for it is "eukaryotic LSU rRNA". The stretch from base 197 to 350 matches the Rfam family "5.8S ribosomal RNA". The record is from RNAcentral. Lineage: Eukaryota; Fungi; Ascomycota; Dothideomycetes; Mycosphaerellales; Teratosphaeriaceae.
UCGUAACAAGGUCUCCGUAGGUGAACCUGCGGAGGGAUCAUUACCGAGUGUGGCGCUCCGGCGCCUCCCUCCAACCCCAUGUCGAAACGACUCUGUUGCCUCGGGGGCGACCCGGCCUUCGGGCGUCGGGGCCCCCGGUGGACACCUUCAUAACUCUUGCAUCUCUUGCGUCUGAGUGAUACAUAUAAUCAAUCAAAACUUUCAACAACGGAUCUCUUGGUUCUGGCAUCGAUGAAGAACGCAGCGAAAUGCGAUAAGUAAUGUGAAUUGCAGAAUUCAGUGAAUCAUCGAAUCUUUGAACGCACAUUGCGCCCCCUGGCAUUCCGGGGGGCAUGCCUGUUCGAGCGUCAUUACACCACUCAAGCCUGGCUUGGUAUUGAGCGCCGCGGCCUGCCCGCGCGCUCCAAUGUCUCCGGCUGAGCCGUCCGUCUCUAAGCGUUGUGAAUAGCGAUCGCUUGCGAGGCCCGGGCGGUUCGACGCCGUUAAACCCCCCAUUUUCUAUGGUUGACCUCGGAUCAGGUAGGGAUACCCGCUGAACUUAAGCAUAUCAAUA